GAGGGUAUCGCUCAGUGGUACAGCGUGUGCUUAGCACCCAUGAGCUCCUGGGUUCCAUCCCCAGUACCUCCU
Transfer RNA from Camelus ferus (Wild Bactrian camel), 72 nucleotides. It matches the Rfam family "tRNA". From Rfam's summary of the family: Transfer RNA (tRNA) molecules are approximately 80 nucleotides in length. Their secondary structure includes four short double-helical elements and three loops (D, anti-codon, and T loops). Further hydrogen bonds mediate the characteristic L-shaped molecular structure. tRNAs have two regions of fundamental functional importance: the anti-codon, which is responsible for specific mRNA codon recognition, and the 3' end, to which the tRNAs corresponding amino acid is attached (by aminoacyl-tRNA synthetases). tRNAs cope with the degeneracy of the genetic code in two manners: having more than one tRNA (with a specific anti-codon) for a particular amino acid; and 'wobble' base-pairing, i.e. permitting non-standard base-pairing at the 3rd anti-codon position. The record is from Rfam. NCBI's taxonomy places the organism in Eukaryota, Metazoa, Chordata, Mammalia, Artiodactyla, Camelidae.